GGCGGUUCUUGGGUGAUGCACCCUGGAAUUGGGCUCCCUCCUCUCUGGUUCCAGGGUGCUUUACCAGAGAACCACU
Myotis lucifugus (little brown bat) is the source of this 76-nucleotide non-coding RNA. The record is from Rfam. Lineage: Eukaryota; Metazoa; Chordata; Mammalia; Chiroptera; Vespertilionidae.